This 253-nucleotide ribosomal RNA is filed under the name uncultured bacterium. RNAcentral describes it as "partial 16S ribosomal RNA". It matches the Rfam family "Bacterial small subunit ribosomal RNA", at positions 524 to 776 of the family's 1533-position model. The record is from RNAcentral.
UACGAAGGGGGCUAGCGUUGCUCGGAAUCACUGGGCGUAAAGCGCACGUAGGCGGAUCCUUAAGUCGGGGGUGAAAUCCUGGAGCUCAACUCCAGAACUGCCUUCGAUACUGAGGAUCUCGAGUCCGGGAGAGGUGAGUGGAACUGCGAGUGUAGAGGUGAAAUUCGUAGAUAUUCGCAAGAACACCAGUGGCGAAGGCGGCUCACUGGCCCGGUACUGACGCUGAGGUGCGAAAGCGUGGGGAGCAAACGGG